GAGCAGGGGUCCUCAAACUCCGGCCCCUUCAGAUGUUGCUGAACUACAACUCCCAUGAUUCUCUGGCUAUCUAUGUAAUUCAAAGAAUCAUGGGAGUUGUAGUUCAGCAACAUCUGGGGGGCAGGAGUUUGAGGACCCCUGCUC
This 144-nucleotide microRNA precursor is filed under the name Pelobates cultripes (western spadefoot toad). Lineage: Eukaryota; Metazoa; Chordata; Amphibia; Anura; Pelobatidae. The record is from RNAcentral.